RNAcentral lists this transfer RNA (72 nucleotides) under Camelus bactrianus (Bactrian camel). It matches the Rfam family "tRNA". From Rfam's summary of the family: Transfer RNA (tRNA) molecules are approximately 80 nucleotides in length. Their secondary structure includes four short double-helical elements and three loops (D, anti-codon, and T loops). Further hydrogen bonds mediate the characteristic L-shaped molecular structure. tRNAs have two regions of fundamental functional importance: the anti-codon, which is responsible for specific mRNA codon recognition, and the 3' end, to which the tRNAs corresponding amino acid is attached (by aminoacyl-tRNA synthetases). tRNAs cope with the degeneracy of the genetic code in two manners: having more than one tRNA (with a specific anti-codon) for a particular amino acid; and 'wobble' base-pairing, i.e. permitting non-standard base-pairing at the 3rd anti-codon position. The record is from Rfam by way of RNAcentral. Lineage: Eukaryota; Metazoa; Chordata; Mammalia; Artiodactyla; Camelidae. RNAcentral also lists the same sequence under 2 other names.
GGGGGUAUAGCUCAGUGGUAGAGCACAUGCUUACAUGCACAAAGUCCUGGGUUCUAUUCCCCGGUACCUCUA